Molecule: transfer RNA, 77 nt
Filed under: Candidatus Magasanikbacteria bacterium RIFOXYC12_FULL_32_21b
Lineage: Bacteria; Candidatus Magasanikiibacteriota
Also listed under: 3 other names
Description: tRNA-Ala
Rfam family: tRNA
About the family: Transfer RNA (tRNA) molecules are approximately 80 nucleotides in length. Their secondary structure includes four short double-helical elements and three loops (D, anti-codon, and T loops).
Source: RNAcentral
GGGCCUUUAGCUCAGCUGGCUAGAGCGCUUCCAUGGCAUGGAAGAGGUCAUGGGUUCAAGUCCCAUAAGGUCCACAA